UACAGAGGUCCCAAGCGUUGUUCGGAAUCACUGGGCGUAAAGGGUGCGUAGGCGGUAGUGUAAGACUUAGGUGAAAUCUCCAUGCUUAACGUGGAGCUCGCCUGGGAGACUGCAUUACUUGAGGAUUGGAGGGGAGACUGGAAUUCUUGGAGUAGCAGUGAAAUACGUAGAUAUCAAGAGGAAGACCAGUGGCGAAGGCGAGUCUCUGGACAGAUACUGACGCUGAGGCGCGAAAGCUAGGGGAGCAAACGGGAUUAGA
Molecule: ribosomal RNA, 259 nt
Filed under: uncultured prokaryote
Description: partial 16S ribosomal RNA
Rfam family: Bacterial small subunit ribosomal RNA
Source: RNAcentral